GAGUCGUAACAAGGUCUCCGUAGGUAACCUGCGGAGGGUCCAAUUACUGAGGUGGAGGGGGCCCCUCGUGGUCCGACCUCCAACCCCAUUGUUUGUCCCGACUCUGUUGCCUCGGGGGGGCGACCCCAGCGCUUCGGCGCCGGGGGGGGUCCCCGCUGGUCCACACAACUCUGCAUCUUUGCGUCUGAGUAAACAUUAAAUGAAACAAAA
Molecule: unclassified non-coding RNA, 210 nt
Filed under: plant metagenome
Description: partial contains small subunit ribosomal RNA and internal transcribed spacer 1
Source: RNAcentral